GCUUAACGCGAAGAACCUUACCUACGCUUGACAUGUCCGGAAUCCUGCAGAGAUGUGGGAGUGCCCGAAAGGGAGCCGGAACACAGGUGCUGCAUGGCCGUCGUCAGCUCGUGUCGUGAGAUGUUGGGUUAAGUCCCGCAACGAGCGCAACCCUCGCCAUUAGUUGCCAUCAUUCAGUUGGGAACUCUAAUGGGACUGCCGGUGCUAAGCCGGAGGAAGGUGGGGAUGACGUCAAGUCAUCAUGGCCCUUACGGCCUGGGCUACACACGUGCUACAAUGGUCGGUACAAAGGGUUGCCAAGCCGCGAGGUGGAGCUAAUCCCAUAAAACCGAUCGUAGUCCGGAUCGCAGUCUGCAACUCGACUGCGUGAAGUCGGAAUCGCUAGUAAUCGUGAAUCAGAAUGUCACGGUGAAUACGUUCCCGGGUCUUGUACACACCG
RNAcentral lists this ribosomal RNA (439 nucleotides) under uncultured bacterium. Its description in RNAcentral is "bacterial SSU rRNA". It matches the Rfam family "Bacterial small subunit ribosomal RNA", at positions 954 to 1392 of the family's 1533-position model. The record is from RNAcentral.